GUCGAAGUUAUGCUUGUACACAAAAUGGUACACACGGAUUUAUAUCGCAUGUAAUUUACUGUUAUAUAAUGAUAUAUUAUGAUGUUAGCUUAUUGCAAAUCCGUGUACACCGGUUCGAUUCCGGUACCCGCCUCCA
RNAcentral lists this transfer RNA (136 nucleotides) under Planktomarina temperata. RNAcentral's name for it is "tRNA-Ser". Lineage: Bacteria; Pseudomonadati; Pseudomonadota; Alphaproteobacteria; Rhodobacterales; Paracoccaceae. The record is from RNAcentral.